UACUUAUCCAGAAAGACAGAGGGAAAGGCCCUAUGAUGUCUUAGCAACCUGUACCGGCCACCUGGCUGUGUGUAAGGUGCUAAUUCCUGCUUCGUGAACCAACCCGGAGACAGAUAAGCU
Molecule: non-coding RNA, 120 nt
Filed under: Mucilaginibacter pedocola
Lineage: Bacteria; Pseudomonadati; Bacteroidota; Sphingobacteriia; Sphingobacteriales; Sphingobacteriaceae
Description: SAM-I sequence
Rfam family: SAM riboswitch aptamer (S box leader)
About the family: The SAM riboswitch is found upstream of a number of genes which code for proteins involved in methionine or cysteine biosynthesis in Gram-positive bacteria.
Source: Rfam by way of RNAcentral